RNAcentral lists this ribosomal RNA (455 nucleotides) under uncultured bacterium. Its description in RNAcentral is "bacterial SSU rRNA". It matches the Rfam family "Bacterial small subunit ribosomal RNA", at positions 8 to 475 of the family's 1533-position model. The record is from RNAcentral.
AGAGUUUGAUCCUGGCUCAGGACGAACGCUGGCGGCGUGCCUAAUACAUGCAAGUCGAGCGGGCCCUUCGGGGCCAGCGGCGGACGGGUGAGUAACAGUAGGCAACCUGCCCGAAAGACCGGGAUAACUGGCGGAAACGUCAGCUAAUACCGGAUAGGAGAAAGCGAGGCAUCUUGCUUUCUGGAAAGGCGGAGCUUUUCUGCCACUUUCGGAUGGGCCUGCGGCGCAUUAGCUAGUAGGCGGGGUAACGGCCCACCUAGGCGACGAUGCGUAGCCGACCUGAGAGGGUGAUCGGCCACACUGGGACUGAGACACGGCCCAGACUCCUACGGGAGGCAGCAGUAGGGAAUCUUCCGCAAUGGGCGAAAGCCUGACGGAGCAACGCCGCGUGAGUGAAGAAGGUCUUCGGAUCGUAAAGCUCUGUUGCCGGAGAAGAACGGCCUGGAGAGUGACUG